Long non-coding RNA from Xenopus laevis (African clawed frog), 493 nucleotides. RefSeq lists it as uncharacterized. The transcript has 2 exons. Lineage: Eukaryota; Metazoa; Chordata; Amphibia; Anura; Pipidae. The record is from RefSeq and is a predicted model, not a curated record.
AUUUUUAAUUUUCAAAGUUAUACGGGGAUACAGAAGAAAAGGAGGGGAUGAGGGGUACAGUAUUGCAACAGAGACACACAUCACGUUUAGCAUACAGUAUAGAGCAUUUAUCAUCAGUCUAUUCCUGCAAUGUAUACCCUUUUGGCUGUAGUCGUAAGUGUUAGGAAGACUUCUGUUUCCUUUCUAAAUAUCCUUCUGUGUUUCUAUACUAAUGCCAUCUGAGGUGGGGGUGGGGGUGGGAGGUGGUGGGGGGGGGACAAGUUUGGACAAGUUUUAUAUCAAUUAAAUAGUGUGUUGAUAGUUUUGUUUUUACAUUUGCAUUCUAGCCUUCAUUAAUCUAGAAGAGUCUAACUACUCAUGUCAAGGUCAGUCUGUGGAAAUGCAGAAUAUCAUCAAUUUGUCUGAUGGAAAUUCAUCCAACGAAAAGAUCUCAGAAGACAUUAAAUCAUAACUGUAUGUAGAAGAUGUUCAUGCCAAUAAAAAUCAACCUUUG